CCUACGGGAGGCAGCAGUGAGGAAUAUUGGUCAAUGGACGAGAGUCUGAACCAGCCAAGUAGCGUGAAGGAUGACUGCCCUAUGGGUUGUAAACUUCUUUUAUAAAGGAAUAAAACGAGGCACGUGUGCCUUUUUGCAUGUACUUUAUGAAUAAGGAUCGGCUAACUCCGUGCCAGCAGCCGCGGUAAUACGGAGGAUCCGAGCGUUAUCCGGAUUUAUUGGGUUUAAAGGGAGCGUAGAUGGGUUGUUAAGUCAGUUGUGAAAGUUUGCGGCUCAACCGUAAAAUUGCAAUUGAUACUGGCAGUCGUGAGUACAGUUGAGGUAGGCGGAAUUCGUGGUGUAGCGGUGAAAUGCUUAGAUAUCACGAAGAACCCCGAUUGCGAAGGCAGCUUACUAAACUGUCACUGACAUUGAUGCUCGAAAGUGUGGGUAUCAAACAGGAUUAGAUACCCGAGUAGUC
RNAcentral lists this ribosomal RNA (460 nucleotides) under uncultured bacterium. RNAcentral's name for it is "partial 16S ribosomal RNA". It matches the Rfam family "Bacterial small subunit ribosomal RNA", at positions 338 to 795 of the family's 1533-position model. The record is from RNAcentral.